This 813-nucleotide ribosomal RNA is filed under the name uncultured bacterium. RNAcentral's name for it is "bacterial SSU rRNA". It matches the Rfam family "Bacterial small subunit ribosomal RNA", at positions 25 to 831 of the family's 1533-position model. The record is from RNAcentral.
CAGAUUGAACGCUGGCGGAAUGCUUUACACAUGCAAGUCGAACGGCAGCACGGGUGCUUGCACCUGGUGGCGAGUGGCGAACGGGUGAGUAACACAUCGGAACGUACCCUAUUGUGGGGGAUAACACAGCGAAAGUUGUGCUAAUACCGCAUAAGACCUGAGGGGGAAAGCAGGGGAUCGCAAGACCUUGCGCGAUAGGAGCGGCCGAUGGCGGAUUAGCUAGUUGGUGGGGUAAAGGCUCACCAAGGCGACGAUCCGUAGCGGGUCUGAGAGGAUGAUCCGCCACACUGGGACUGAGACACGGCCCAGACUCCUACGGGAGGCAGCAGUGGGGAAUUUUGGACAAUGGGGGCAACCCUGAUCCAGCCAUUCCGCGUGGGUGAAGAAGGCCUUCGGGUUGUAAAGCCCUUUCGGCCGGAGCGAAACGGCGGGCUCUAACAGAGUCUGUUAAUGACGGUACCGGCAGAAGAAGCACCGGCUAACUACGUGCCAGCAGCCGCGGUAAUACGUAGGGUGCGAGCGUUAAUCGGAAUUACUGGGCGUAAAGCGUGCGCAGGCGGUGUUGUAAGACAGAUGUGAAAUCCCCGGGCUUAACCUGGGAACUGCAUUUGUGACUGCAAUGCUAGAGUGCGUCAGAGGGGGGUGGAAUUCCACGUGUAGCAGUGAAAUGCGUAGAGAUGUGGAGGAACACCGAUGGCGAAGGCAGCCCCCUGGGAUGACACUGACGCUCAUGCACNAAAGCGUGGGGAGCAAACAGGAUUAGAUACCNUGGUAUUCCACGCCCUAAACGAUGUCAACUGGUUGUNGGGGGAA